This 492-nucleotide ribosomal RNA is filed under the name uncultured bacterium. RNAcentral describes it as "partial 16S ribosomal RNA". It matches the Rfam family "Bacterial small subunit ribosomal RNA", at positions 29 to 507 of the family's 1533-position model. The record is from RNAcentral.
AGUGAACGCUGGCGGUAGGCCUAACACAUGCAAGUCGAACGGCAGCACAGUAAGAGCUUGCUCUUACGGGUGGCGAGUGGCGGACGGGUGAGGAAUACAUCGGAAUCUACUUUUUCGUGGGGGAUAACGUAGGGAAACUUACGCUAAUACCGCAUACGACCUACGGGUGAAAGCAGGGGAACUUCGGACCUUGCGCGAUUGAAUGAGCCGAUGUCGGAUUAGCUAGUUGGCGGGGUAAAGGCCCACCAAGGCGACGAUCCGUAGCUGGUCUGAGAGGAUGAUCAGCAACACUGGAACUGAGACACGGUCCAGACUCCUACGGGAGGCAGCAGUGGGGAAUAUUGGACAAUGGGCGCAAGCCUGAUCCAGCCAUACCGCGUGGGUGAAGAAGGCCUUCGGGUUGUAAAGCCCUUUUGUUGGGAAAGAAAAGCAGCAGGUUAAUACCCCGCUGUUCUGACGGUACCCAAAGAAUAAGCACCGGCUAACUUCGUG